AUUGAACGCGGGCGGAAUGCUUUACACAUGCAAGUCGAACGAUGAAGUCUAGCUUGCUAGACGGAUUAGUGGCGAACGGGUGAGUAAUAUAUCGGAACGUAUCCAUUAAUGGGGGAUAACUAGUCGAAAGAUUGGCUAAUACCGCAUACGUCCUACGGGAGAAAGCUGGGGAUCGUAAGACCUGGCGUUAAUGGAGCGGCCGAUAUCUGAUUAGCUAGUUGGUGAGGUAAAGGCUCACCAAGGCGACGAUCAGUAGCUGGUCUGAGAGGACGACCAGCCACACUGGAACUGAGACACGGUCCAGACUCCUACGGGAGGCAGCAGUGGGGAAUUUUGGACAAUGGGCGCAAGCCUGAUCCAGCCAUUCCGCGUGAGUGAAGAAGGCCUUCGGGUUGUAAAGCUCUUUCGCAAGGGAAGAAAACUUACCCUCUAACAUAGGGUGAGGUUGACGGUACCUUGAUAAGAAGCACCGGCUAACUACGUGCCAGCAGCCGCGGUAAUACGUAGGGUGCGAGCGUUAAUCGGAAUUACUGGGCGUAAAGCGUGCGCAGGCUGUUUUGUAAGUCAGAUGUGAAAUCCCUGGGCUCAACCUAGGAACCACGUUUGAAACUACAAGACUAGAAUAUGUCAGAGGGGGGUAGAAUUCCACGUGUAGCAGUGAAAUGCGUAGAGAUGUGGAGGAAUACCAAUGGCGAAGGCAGCCCCCUGGGAUAAUAUUGACGCUCAUGCACGAAAGCGUGGGGAGCAAACAGGAUUAGAUACCCUGGUAGUCCACGCCCUAAACGAUGUCUACUAGUUGUUGGUGGAGUAAAAUCCAUGAGUAACGCAGCUAACGCGUGAAGUAGACCGCCUGGGGAGUACGGUCGCAAGAUUA
Molecule: ribosomal RNA, 874 nt
Filed under: uncultured bacterium
Lineage: Bacteria
Description: bacterial SSU rRNA
Rfam family: Bacterial small subunit ribosomal RNA
Source: RNAcentral